ACGAACGCUGGCGGCGUGCUUAACACAUGCAAGUCGAACGGAAAGGCCCUGCUUUUGUGGGGUGCUCGAGUGGCGAACGGGUGAGUAACACGUGAGUAACCUGCCCUUGACUUUGGGAUAACUUCAGGAAACUGGGGCUAAUACCGGAUAGGAGCUCCUGCUGCAUGGUGGGGGUUGGAAAGUUUCGGCGGUUGGGGAUGGACUCGCGGCUUAUCAGCUUGUUGGUGGGGUAGCGGCUUACCAAGGCUUUGACGGGUAGCCGGCCUGAGAGGGUGACCGGCCACAUUGGGACUGAGAUACGGCCCAGACUCCCACGGGAGGCAGCAGUGGGGAAUAUUGCACAAUGGGCGGAAGCCUGAUGCAGCAACGCCGCGUGCGGGAUGACGGCCUUCGGGUUGUAAACCGCUUUCGCCUGUGACGAAGCGUGAGUGACGGUAAUGGGUAAAGAAGCACCGGCUAACUACGUG
Molecule: ribosomal RNA, 467 nt
Filed under: uncultured bacterium
Lineage: Bacteria
Description: partial 16S ribosomal RNA
Rfam family: Bacterial small subunit ribosomal RNA
Source: RNAcentral